This 349-nucleotide ribosomal RNA is filed under the name uncultured bacterium. RNAcentral's name for it is "SSU rRNA". It matches the Rfam family "Bacterial small subunit ribosomal RNA", at positions 26 to 518 of the family's 1533-position model. The record is from RNAcentral.
AGGAUAAACGCUGGCGGCGUGCCUAACACAUGCAAGUCGAGCAAAGCUCUUUCGAGAGAGGGAGCGCCACACGAGGAGCCUGCGCCCGAUUAGCUAGCUGGUGGAGUAAUGGUUCACCAGGGCGACGAUCGGUAGCUGGUCUGAGAGGACGAUCAGCCACACUGGGAUUGAGAACGGCCCAGACUCCUACGGGGGGCAGCAGUGAGGAAUUUUCGUCAAUGGGGGCAACCCUGAACGAGCAACGCCGCGUGCAGGAAGAAGGUUUUCGGAUCGUAAACUGCUUUUCUCGGGGAAGAGAAUGGACGGUACCCGAGGAAUCAGCCCCGGCUAACUACGUGCCAGCAGCCGC